CGGCGAGUGAAGCGGGAUGAGCUCAAGCUUAAAAUCUCCGUGCAAAUUUUGCACGGCGAAUUGUAGUCUAUAGAGGCGUGGUCAGCAUCGGCACUUGGGGUAAGUUCCUUGGAAGAGGACAGCAUGGAGGGUGAUACUCCCGUUUAUCCCUGAGUUGCUUGUGCGUACGACCCGUUUUCUUUGAGUCGCGUUGUUUGAGAAUGCAGCGCAAAGUAGGUGGUAAAUUCCAUCUAAAGCUAAAUAUUGGUGCGAGACCGAUAGUAAACAAGUACCGUGAGGGAAAGAUGAAAAGAACUUUGAAAAGAGAGUUAAAGAGUACCUGAAACUGCUGAAAGGGAACCAAAUCGUUUCCAGUGUCUAUAAUCCGUGGUAUAUUUCAUUGGCGAGUGUGUGCGUGCGUGUGCUAUGGCAGCGGCUUUUUGCUGCGCUUGGUGUGUGUGCUGUGUGUGCUUGCUGGUGCCCUGUGCCGCGGUGGGACGUCAAGGUCAGUUCGUAUGCUGCGGGAAAUGGCUACUGAGGAGGUAGGACUUACGUUUUCGUUUGUCUGUUACAUCUUAGUGGACGAGUUGUCGCGGUUGGGACUGAGGUGCCUACAAUGUGCUUAUGAGUGGGAUUGAAUCUCCGUGUGCGCCGUGUGCGGAUAGCUUGCUAUGCGUGUGUGGCUGCGUGUGGAUUGAGUCGAGCCUUAACUUGUUGCCGUUC
This 702-nucleotide ribosomal RNA is filed under the name Paraperonospora leptosperma. RNAcentral describes it as "LSU rRNA". It matches the Rfam family "Eukaryotic large subunit ribosomal RNA", at positions 87 to 628 of the family's 3401-position model. The record is from RNAcentral. Lineage: Eukaryota; Oomycota; Peronosporomycetes; Peronosporales; Peronosporaceae.